Molecule: long non-coding RNA, 2280 nt
Filed under: Homo sapiens (human)
Lineage: Eukaryota; Metazoa; Chordata; Mammalia; Primates; Hominidae
Description: HSALNT0189506
Source: RNAcentral
GAACUUUCCUGGCCUCCACGGACAAUUCCAGCCUCAGUAUUCCCAGGGAAGGGUAAUGAGGCAAGUGGGACAUUUCUCAGGCUGGGAGAGACCCCCAAGGUCAGGGUCAGAUAGAAGGCAGGAUGUGUGGGAGGCAGAGGAGUCAGGAAUAUGGGAAUCUGGGGUGGUGGGAAAUCCUGUGGUUCCUGAAGCAGCAACAACAUUUGCAAAGGAGACUCCACCAGAGGAGCUGCCUGGAGGCUCACUGAGGCAUUCUGCAGCCCAGACCCACCCGUAGACUACCAGUCAGGGACUGCACUCAGGCCUGAUACCAAGCCACUGGGGCUGAUGUGAAGGGAGGUGAGUACAGGUUCUCCCAGGCAAUUAUCAAGAGGAAAAGAAACAGAGCAGAGACCAUUAGGGAAGAAAUGAGAAGGGAGAGGGGCCCCAGACACAAUUCUCCAAAUAAGUCCUUCUGUGUACUGUGUGUGAAUUAAGCUUCUGCCUACCUAAAGUCCAAAGGAAUCUUGUAACGUCAAUCCCAUUUUUCAUAUCAAUAAAUAGAGGGUGCAAGAGGCAAAGGAAGUAGCCCAGAUCACAUGGGCUACAGAUCAAAUGGGCCUGGCCAUUUAUCUAGUUACCACCCCCCAGCCUCCUCACCUGCUGUGUUGUAAGGGGCUACCUAUGCAUCUAUUUACAUCUGGCUGAUAGUCUCCAUUCUCACCACCACAAAAACAGAAUCUCAGAGUAAGGAGGUCCAACCUCCCCAUGGUGCAAUUAGGGAACUGAUGCCCAGAGAAGGGAAGCUGCUUGCUUAGGGUCACAGAGCCAGAAGAAUCAGGGCAGGGACUUAAACCAAUUCAGAAGGCUGCUCUUUCCUAGAGCCAGGUUCUCAACUAUUUACAUACACAGAUGUCAGACACCAUAUUAGGCACCAGGGAAAUAAAGAUGAAUGAGUACAGGCCCUGCCUUGAGAGGCUCAGAAGUGAGGAGACAGGCUCCCCCGACCCAGCCUGUAGAAAGACAUCCUCCAGAUGCCAAGGACCACAUGCUAAGAAAGAAGUUGCUCUAAGCUGGGGAAGUCAAAAAGGCCACCUGGAGGGGGUGGGCCUAAAAAAUGAUUAGAGGUGUGAGUGGGAGGAGGGCACUCGCUCUGGUGAUCCAGGCGGGAGGAAAUGUAAGUGCACAGGAAUAGUCCUCUUGGGGAAGACACUCCUGCUGGAGGAUUAUGGGAGACAAGGCUGGAAAGGCAGGUUGGGAAUAGACAGACCAGAGAAGAACCUGAGUGCCGGCUAGAGGGCCUGAGCUUCACUCCAUGGGCACUGGGGAGUUAUGGAAGGUUUCUGUCUGGGGUGACGGGGGAUCCAUGCAAAGGGACUUACUAGGAAAUUUACUCUAAUAAAGUAGGGUAAUAAAUUAGGGAGCAGCUUACAGGGCAGACUUCCUUGGAAAAAACCUGAGGCAUCAAGCAUGUCAAUGCAUCUGUGGGUUGCCUCUUGGGGUGACUGUGGUGUGAGUGUGUGUGUAUGUGUGUGUACGCACACACACAAGUGUAGUGCUAAGACCAGGAAAGCCUGGUUUCACAAAACUGCUCCAGUCUGCCCUGGUGGGGAGAUGAUGGAUCACCAGAUCCCCACCCCUUCUGUCUCCCUUUCAUAACCACCCUGAAUGGGCAAAAGCAUAGCUGCCUCCCCACACAGUCUGUGUACCCUGAACCCCAGCACGCACAUGAAGAAACUGUCCUAGAAGCAGAGACACGCGCACACACACCAGGGAGCACAAUGACAAGCUGAGGCCUACGAUGAUUUAGGCUGAGGAUACCAUCUGCCUGAGAGAACCCUCCUCUUGGAGUCUUGCUCCUCAAAAUGUGACUUCAGAGCCAGCAGCAUUGGCAUCCCUGGAAGCGUGGUACCAAUGCAUUCUUGGACCUCAACUCAGACCUAUUCAAUCCAACUCUCCAGUUUAGCAAGAUCCCCAGGUGAUUUUUAUGUACAUUAAAGUUUGAAAGCAAUACUCUAAAGAACCAGAAAUGCCAGACCAGGGUCCAACAGGGAAACUGAAUGCCUAAGACAUUCAUUCAUUCAUUUACCCAUUCAAUAAAUACUUAAUAAGCAUCUACUGGGUGCACAGAGUUGUGCUAGGCAUUGGGGAUAAAAUGGUGAAUGACUCAGAUUAGGUGUGCAGACUGCAGAGGAUGAGAUGAAUGUUCCCUACCUGGCCUGUUUCAGCCCACCUCCCAGAGUUGGGGGGAGGGGCUUGAGUUGGGAACAGGGGUACAUUUGACUGAAGAAUCUCUCAAGA